UAAGCCGUUGAAGGUGUGUCGUGAGGCAUGCUGGAGGUAUCAGAAGUGCGAAUGCUGACAUAAGUAACGAUAAAGCGGGUGAAAAGCCCGCUCGCCGGAAGACCAAGGGUUCCUGUCCAACGUUAAUCGGGGCAGGGUGAGUCGACCCCUAAGGCGAGGCCGAAAGGCGUAGUCGAUGGGAAACGGGUUAAUAUUCCCGUACUUGGUGUUACUGCGAAGGGGGGACGGAGAAGGCUAUGUUGGCCGGGCGACGGUUGUCCCGGUUUAAGCGUGUAGGUGUGUGUUCCAGGUAAAUCCGGUUCACUUUAACACUGAGGCGUGAUGACGAGGCACUACGGUGCUGAAGCAACAAAUGCCCUGCUUCCAGGAAAAGCCUCUAAGCCUCAGGUAACAUCAAAUCGUACCCCAAACCGACACAGGUGGUCAGGUAGAGAAUACCAAGGCGCUUGAGAGAACUCGGGUGAAGGAACUAGGCAAAAUGGUGCCGUAACUUCGGGAGAAGGCACGCUGACACGUAGGUGAAGUGGUUUACCCAUGGAGCUGAAGUCAGUCGAAGAUACCAGCUGGCUGCAACUGUUUAUUAAAAACACAGCACUGUGCAAACACGAAAGUGGACGUAUACGGUGUGACGCCUGCCCGGUGCCGGAAGGUUAAUUGAUGGGGUCAGCGCAAGCGAAGCUCCUGAUCGAAGCCCCGGUAAACGGCGGCCGUAACUAUAACGGUCCUAAGGUAGCGAAAUUCCUUGUCGGGUAAGUUCCGACCUGCACGAAUGGCGUAAUGAUGGCCAGGCUGUCUCCACCCGGGACUCAGUGAAAUUGAACUCGCUGUGAAGAUGCAGUGUACCCGCGGCAAGACGGAAAGACCCCGUGAACCUUUACUAUAGCUUGACACUGAACACUGGUCCUUGAUGUGCAGGAUAGGUGGGAGGCUUUGAAGUGUGGACGCCAGUCUGCAUGGAGCCAUCCUUGAAAUACCACCCUUUAAUGGCUGGUGUUCUAACGUGGGCCCGUGAACCGGGUUGCGGACAGUGUCUGGUGGGUAGUUUGACUGGGGCGGUCUCCUCCUAAAGAGUAACGGAGGAGCACGAAGGUUGGCUAAUCCUGGUCGGACAUCAGGAGGUUAGUGCAAUGGCAUAAGCCAGCUUGACUGCGAGCGUGACGGCGCGAGCAGGUGCGAAAGCAGGUCAUAGUGAUCCGGUGGUUCUGAAUGGAAGGGCCAUCGCUCAACGGAUAAAAGGUACUCCGGGGAUAACAGGCUGAUACCGCCCAAGAGUUCAUAUCGACGGCGGUGUUUGGCACCUCGAUGUCGGCUCAUCACAUCCUGGGGCUGAAGUAGGUCCCAAGGGUAUGGCUGUUCGCCAUUUAAAGUGGUACGCGAGCUGGGUUUAGAACGUCGUGAGACAGUUCGGUCCCUAUCUGCCGUGGGCGCUGGAAGAUUGAGGGGGGCUGCUCCUAGUACGAGAGGACCGGAGUGGACGCAUCACUGGUGUUCGGGUUGUCAUGCCAAUGGCACUGCCCGGUAGCUACAUGCGGAAGAGAUAAGUGCUGAAAGCAUCUAAGCACGAAACUUGCCCCGAGAUGAAUCUUCCCUGAGCCUUUAAGGCUCCUGAAGGAACGUUGAAGACGACGACGUUGAUAGGCCGGGUGUGUAAGCGCAGCGAUGCGUUGAGCUAACCGGUACUAAUGAACCGUGAGGCUUAACCUU
This 1704-nucleotide ribosomal RNA is filed under the name Salmonella enterica. RNAcentral's name for it is "partial 23S ribosomal RNA". It matches the Rfam family "Bacterial large subunit ribosomal RNA", at positions 1243 to 2925 of the family's 2925-position model. The record is from RNAcentral. Lineage: Bacteria; Pseudomonadati; Pseudomonadota; Gammaproteobacteria; Enterobacterales; Enterobacteriaceae.